UUUGUAUAUGAGGUGUCCAUCUAUCCUUUAAAACCAGAACUGAUAUCUCCCUCAUGAUUCUCUUCCCUUCCAUUGAAAGUGUGUCAAAGAGGGUUAGGUCUAAUAGGAUUAGGUCGGAUGUGCGGGAUAUAGGAUACGAAGCAAUUGCAUUGUUGCUAGAGUUUUCGAGGAACAUGGCUUGAUGACUACGUAUCUCUUCUCCAACAUAGAUGAUCUGACAUACGAGGAGAUGAACGAGUAUUCCCAACAACUGAUGUGGCUCAAGAAAGAAAUUGACUACCGCAAGUCUUUGAAGCCUACUAGCCCAGGUGUGCCAUCCCGCCAACAACCAUCAUUGUUCGAUAAAAAUAGAGUGGAAACUUUUUGGUUUUAAGACAAAAAAGUGGAAUGGAUAGGCAAUAUGAAAUUGUUAGCAAAAAAUUGUACAACGAGAAUGGAAAGGAAGUUUUCAACGGGCAAACAGAAACAAAAUAGAAUGAUGAUUUCCUAUAAAAAACAUAGAAAUUGAACUUUCCAUUUCCACUAUGGACCUAUGGCUUCUUUGUAUCCCAAACACCAAAGAACACAGAAUUAGCCAAGUGUGGUUUAACUUCUACUACUAAGCGAGGAAGUUAGCCAUGAUUGUAACCAUAAUGGAGGCGAGGCCUAAAUUUCCCUUAACAGAUUAUUUGUGAGCUUAAAGUUUGUUGUACUUGUAAGAGGUCGACCAGAUACACUAUGUUGAUCUACUUACAUAGGGAGCUUAUCCUUCUAAUUACCACAAAUAUGCUUUUGUUUUGUCAAAUUUGAAAAACUCUACGCAAAUGUGAAUCCUAUGAUAUAUCCAUCAUAGUAACUUGUACUUAGGUUAACCAUUAACUAAGAGUUUUGGUUUGCUUGUAUUUUCAAUAUGGUUCAACGGAGUUUUAAGUUCCAGUCAACAACAUAUUCACUCCAUGUCCAAUUCUGAU
Molecule: long non-coding RNA, 950 nt
Filed under: Hordeum vulgare
Lineage: Eukaryota; Viridiplantae; Streptophyta; Magnoliopsida; Poales; Poaceae
Description: long non-coding RNA (HVUL_LNC005888)
Source: RNAcentral